UACGGUGACUAUUGCAAGAAGGAUCCACCUGUUCCCAUGCCGAACACAGCCGUUAAGCUUCUUUGCGCCGAGGAUAGUGAGGGGUUUCCCCUUGUGAAAGCCGGACGUUGCCGUUC
Atopostipes suicloacalis DSM 15692 is the source of this 116-nucleotide non-coding RNA. NCBI's taxonomy places the organism in Bacteria, Bacillati, Bacillota, Bacilli, Lactobacillales, Carnobacteriaceae. The record is from Rfam.